Molecule: ribosomal RNA, 868 nt
Filed under: uncultured bacterium
Lineage: Bacteria
Description: bacterial SSU rRNA
Rfam family: Bacterial small subunit ribosomal RNA
Source: RNAcentral
UCCAUGGUAUCAUUCUUUCGCAUGUUAGAAUGAUUAAAAAAUUUCGGUAUGAGAUGGGCAUGCGUCCCAUUAGCUAGUUGGUGAGGUAACGGCUCACCAAGGCGACGAUGGGUAGGGGGCCUGAGAGGGUGGUCCCCCACACUGGUACUGAGACACGGACCAGACUCCUACGGGAGGCAGCAGUGAGGAAUAUUGGUCAAUGGAGGCAACUCUGAACCAGCCAUGCCGCGUGAAGGAUGACGGCCCUAUGGGUUGUAAACUUCUUUUAUAUGGGAAGAAACUUAUCUACGUGUAGAUAACUGACGGUACCAUACGAAUAAGGAUCGGCUAACUCCGUGCCAGCAGCCGCGGUAAUGCGGAGGAUCCAAGCGUUAUCCGGAUUCAUUGGGUUUAAAGGGUCCGUAGGCGGAUUUUUAAGUCAGUGGUGAAAGCCGGCAGCUCAACUGUCGAACUGCCAUUGAUACUGGAAAUCUUGAAUACAAAUGAAGUAGGCGGAAUGAGUCAUGUAGCGGUGAAAUGCAUAGAUAUGACUCAGAACACCGAUUGCGAAGGCAGCUUACUAACAUGUAACUGACGCUGAGGGACGAAAGCGUGGGGAGCGAACAGGAUUAGAUACCCUGGUAGUCCACGCCGUAAACGAUCAUCACUCGCUGUUGGCGAUAUACUGUCAGCGGCCAAGCGAAAGUAUUAAGUGAUGCACCUGGGGAGUACGCCGGCAACGGUGAAACUCAAAGGAAUUGACGGGGGCCCGCACAAGCGGUGGAGCAUGUGGUUUAAUUCGAUGAUACGCGAGGAACCUUACCAGGGCUUAAAUGUAGUAUGACCGGUCUGGAAACAGACCUUCCCUUCGGGGCAGAUUACAAGGUGC